UAACAAGAGCUGCACUCUCUACUUUAUUGGGCUGCUGUGAGGAAGGGGUUAAAGAACUCUACAGCUUUCGUUAUUAGGUCCUAGUUCCCUAAACUUCUAUUCUUGACUGUCUCAGUGGAUGGCUUCGCUUCUUCAUGACGCAGGGGGAAAGAAAGACAGGUAAUGAGUUAAUUAAUAUUAAUUAACUCCAAAUGCCAAUUUCUGGACCCUGCUGAGUGAACAAUCCUGACCAAGAUUGGUAAUGAUCACCAAGUAUAUCUCAGUGAAGCAAGCAGGUGCCUGUUCUCAUCCUGUCAGCAUCCCAUCCACAUCUUACAUCCAGCACUUGAGUGGCUAAAUGAAAGCGUGUCGAAUUGAGCCGGCUUCUCCUUAAAUAUGGACUUGCUGAGGUGGGAGUCAUGGAGGCAAGUAAGCGAGCAAGGACAUCUGAAAAGCCCCCAGAGAAACAAGCCAUCCACAUGCGAUUUGAGGAAUGGGGAGUGGGGAACUCUCUCCUUCCCCGAUCCUGGGAGUCUCUGAAAUUGCCCGGGGCCUUUAUUGUCCUGAGUGAUGGAUCCAGGUGAACCAGGACCAAUCUGCCAGAGACUGCAGGUGGAGAAAAACUGAGGAAAGGAGUUUUGUGCCUGUUAUCCAAGUGAUUGUGAUGCCAAGUCUGGAGCUGAUGAAAGCAAUUGGAUGAACCCCAGAA
Long non-coding RNA from Monodelphis domestica (gray short-tailed opossum), 688 nucleotides. RefSeq lists it as uncharacterized. The record is from RefSeq and is a predicted model, not a curated record. NCBI's taxonomy places the organism in Eukaryota, Metazoa, Chordata, Mammalia, Didelphimorphia, Didelphidae.